AAUGUUCCUGUAAAUUGACAAACAUAAUUUUUCAAUUUAAGUAGUCAGGUGCACUUUUUUUUUCGAUUCUGAUCGAGGUAGGACAAUAGAAAGUGCGUUUGAAAACUUUCUUUGUAUUCCCACACUGGUGCUUCGAAAGCGGUGAAGAAAGGAAGAUAAGAAUCAGCAAGGAGAUUUACAAUCGACAAAUAUGUUGCCCCGGUUUCAUUUUAGACCGCCUUUGUCUGUUUAUCGGGUUCUGUGCGAACACUGCAACCACUUUGCACAGCCCAGCCCCAUGGAGGCCUGCCGCCAUUAGCAAGUGUUUUUAAUCAUUGGCAGAUGAUGUCUAUGGCACCCUCUAUUGUAUACAAGGGGGUUUAUGCCCUGCACACAGAUGUCCUUCACAACCAAAUCUCACCCCACAUGUUCGUUU
Long non-coding RNA from Daphnia carinata, 415 nucleotides. RefSeq lists it as uncharacterized. Lineage: Eukaryota; Metazoa; Arthropoda; Branchiopoda; Diplostraca; Daphniidae. The transcript is spliced from 2 exons. The record is from RefSeq and is a predicted model, not a curated record.